CGCCAGACUCCUACGGGAGGCAGCAGUGAGGAAUAUUGGUCAAUGGGCGCGAGCCUGAACCAGCCAAGUCGCGUGAGGGAGGACGGCCCUACGGGUUGUAAACCUCUUUUGCCGGGGAGCAACGGGCGUCACGUGUGGCGCCACUGAGAGUACCCGGAGAAAAAGCAUCGGCUAACUACGUGCCAGCAGCCGCGGUAAUACGUAGGUGGCGAGCGUUAUCCGGAAUGAUUGGGCGUAAAGGGUGCGCAGGCGGCAUGUCAAGUCUGAAGUGAAAGGUACGGGCUUAACCUGUACAGGCUUUGGAAACUGGCAUGCUAGAGGACAGGAGAGGGCGGUGGAACUCCAUGUGUAGCGGUAAAAUGCGUAGAUAUAUGGAAGAACACCAGUGGCGAAGGCGGCCGCCUGGACUGUUGCUGACGCUCAGGCACGAAAGCGUGGGGAGCAAAUAGGAUUAGAUACCCGCGUAC
RNAcentral lists this ribosomal RNA (467 nucleotides) under uncultured bacterium. RNAcentral describes it as "bacterial SSU rRNA". It matches the Rfam family "Bacterial small subunit ribosomal RNA", at positions 329 to 793 of the family's 1533-position model. The record is from RNAcentral.